RNAcentral lists this long non-coding RNA (1045 nucleotides) under Pelobates cultripes (western spadefoot toad). Lineage: Eukaryota; Metazoa; Chordata; Amphibia; Anura; Pelobatidae. The record is from RNAcentral.
CAAACUCCUAAUUACCAAAAGCGGCGAGAUCAACGUGGCCUCCACGCCGGAAGAAGGCACCCGACUAUUGAGAGACUGGGGGCUCCUUACAAACCCCCCCCCCACAACUCAAGCAAGUCCAGCGAGACGUCUGACACCAGAAUGGCGCCAGGUCCCAACACGGAACAAAUCGCCAUGAUCCACCCGAGGGACUAGGCCGUCCAGGCCAUAACCAGGGACACGUGAGAUAUUAAUAUGUACUGCUAAUUGUUAUCACAAGUUUAGUUUAAGUUUUUCUUUUUCAUGUGAUUGUACUGCUAAUUGUUAUCACAAGUUUAGUUUAAGUUUUUUCCUUUUUAUGUGAUCAACUGCUUUGAUUAGCAUUUUAUUCACUUACCACACAAUCAUACCACACUAUGCAUGGUUUGUUGGAUGCGGGCGGGUGGGAUGCCCACAUGGGUGAUAACCAGGGCAAACUUUGGGCAACAAGGAAGGGCGGCAUGGUAUAGGCAAAGAAAAGACCAGUAGUUAGAGGUGAUCCUAAUACCUAAAUAUUAUUUACAAGGUUGAGGUUAUGCAUACAUAAGACAGGUAUUCCAAGAAUGUACAAAGGUGCACAACGAUUAUGUAAAUCACCAGGACAUUGUCCAUAGAGAGAAAAUUGUACAUGACACCAUAUAAACCUCUAUCGUUUUACGAGUAGGUCAAACCCACUACAACCGCACCGCCCCGCCUCACUACGUAGCCUGGCUCAUCACAUCCAAAAGCUACGAUGGGAGAACCACACCCCACCAUAAAGACCGACACGACAAGUGGGAAACCCACGACAGGCACCAAGCGGUGACCUGCACACCGCCCCGCUAAACCUUCCCUUGGGUCCGAUUUGAUUCUCUUACCCAUGCCCACAGGCCAGCACUGAGAAUGCCAUGCACAAUACCUAGGUCGCUAUUGACUUAUAGCUCUGAGGAGAGACAGCAACUAUGUACACAAGGGAGCCCAACGGCCACAAUACCAGAGACGCUGUUUCAGCGCUCCUCCCCCAUGGCACGAUGCCACUGUGCCAAGA